RNAcentral lists this non-coding RNA (21 nucleotides) under Caenorhabditis elegans. The record is from RNAcentral. Lineage: Eukaryota; Metazoa; Nematoda; Chromadorea; Rhabditida; Rhabditidae.
UAAAGACUGUAUAUUUUUUGA